ACUCUCAAAGAUCAGAUGUUCUCUCUGGCCUCUGCAGGAACCAGCACUCCUAUUUACAUACCACAUACAUAUGCACACAUAUAUGCAUAAUAACAAAUAAGAAAACAGAUGUUAAAAAGAGUUAUACUUUUCAUCUUUCUAGAAUUACACUUCAGUUGUCAUAAUUUGUCCAGGAAUGAGAUAAUGGGAUGGAUUGUUUUGACCCAACCUCUGACAUCAGCCCAAUCAAAACAAGCAAACAAAACACCUCCAUCUCUUAGUAAUUGAAGACACUGAUUCUGAAGUAACUUCAAGUGAGAGUUGUUACUGGUAUUUUCACCCAUAUUUGCCUCCCUUCAAGAACAAACUAAGGACAUUUUGCACAAAGCAGGUUAGUAACAGAGUUUCUUGUUUUGAUUACUGUUUAAAUUAAUUCCUUGCUCUCUGUGACAAAGAUUUGGUUUCCCACAAACACACAAACAAAGAGAUUGUCAAAUAGAUACUUCAUUACAGGAUCUUGUAAGCAGCCAUGUCUUGGUGAGAAGAGUGUGGUAGAACACAGAAAAACCUCAGCCAUUUCCCCAGGACCUAGUAGCUGGAAGGCUUUUCUGAAUCUUACCUGUCAGGCAAACACUGGAUUGUUGUUUACCCAAGG
Cricetulus griseus (Chinese hamster) is the source of this 634-nucleotide non-coding RNA. NCBI's taxonomy places the organism in Eukaryota, Metazoa, Chordata, Mammalia, Rodentia, Cricetidae. The record is from RefSeq and is a predicted model, not a curated record.